RNAcentral lists this long non-coding RNA (2247 nucleotides) under Spirodela polyrhiza (greater duckweed). RNAcentral's name for it is "long non-coding RNA (SPOL_LNC002437)". Lineage: Eukaryota; Viridiplantae; Streptophyta; Magnoliopsida; Alismatales; Araceae. The record is from RNAcentral.
UCCAGCGCCACCCUCCGAGCACCGCCUCACGACGCCGCCUUCCAGCUCGUCUCCGGCAACGCCUCUCGGCGCCGCUACUCCAACGCCGUCCUGCACCGCCUCUUCUCCUCCCAGAAUCGCCUCCGGCUCCAGCCUUCAGGUUUGGGUUCCGACAUCUGAAAUUGCUGUCAGCCAUCUUUCCUCCUUCGGUGCAACGACGAGGGAGGGAAGAAAAAGACGAGUCCUCCUGCGACCUCAUGAUUUCAUUCUCCACCUCAGGGAACAGAAGAGGGGUGAACAGCCCAGGAGUUGAUCAGUAUGGCCUGAAUCGCCCAGGGGCCCGCUUAUGGUGACCUGAAACCGGAAGGUGUGCCAGAACGAACUUUUGUGCGAUCCUUCGUCCAUACUGAUGCUUGAAUCCACCUGAAACCUUAUGGUGGUAUCCAGGGGAUUGAAUGUACGAUUCACUCUCAUUUUCGAACAUCGUAUACGAUGUCCAACAAAGAAUAUGCAUGGCAUAUCAUUCUCCAAGAACUCGGCACAUCAAGCUCUAGUACCACUUGAUGGGGAAAUUUUCUAAAUAGCAGGAUCUAGUGCUAAAUCCCGGAGAAAGAUUGACAAGAACAAGAUUGAAUGAAUAUACUAAGUCCAUAUUGAUCCAAAUUUGCACUUGGGGCUUAUGUCUCUUAGGACCGACACACCAGAGUUGUCAAAACCUUAUGAUUUUCCUUCUGGAGUGAUGGGAUGCUUCAGAAAUAACUUUGGCUCAUUGUGUGAUCCAAGGACCUGACCCCUAUUUAUAGCCCAGCCUUGAAGUCAAUUUCUAAUUUUGCCCAUCAUAAAAUUGGAAACGAUUUGGUCUCUACACAUGUGGUGCCCAUACUUACAUAAGAUGCCUUAAUUCCUUAUUAGGCCUUAAUGAAUCAUUUUAGCAAGGAUUAACUUAAUGAUAUCUUUAUAAUACAUAAUUUAUAUGUAUGUGCCCACAUUUGGAUUAAAAAUCCAAAACCUUCUCCCUGGUGCGGUGGGUCUGUCUGUGGUUGGCGUUCAUACCAUGCUCUUGUCAUUGGGAUCGUUUUUACUCUUGAGUUUGAUUUAUUUUGAAAUCUCAUUAGUAUGUGUUGCUCUUCGCUUUAGAAGCAUUUGGAUGUAUUCGAUUUUUCCCUCUCUCUUCUGUUCCUUUUGAUUCACGUAAAGAAGAUCUGCUCUCUGGAAGUACAGUGUUCAAGGGACAGUGAAAGACUGAUAAAGCAUGAUGAUAAAGUGCAGAGAAAUUAUGUCUUGGAAGACAUUUUAAAUGACUUACAGUGCCCUUGGCAUAUGCGUCUACAGCAGAGGGACUUUCAAUGCUUUCUUGGUUUUAGAACAUAUUUUCUUUCUCUUUACUUUCUGUUUGUAAAUUCUUGUGUUUCUCUCGUCCUAUCCUCAGCUAUGGCAUUAGUGCCUCCCAGUUUCAUCUCUUGCUCCCUCGAGAUUUUCUUAGUAAGAGAAAAAAAGUUGUUAGGGUCAUCAUCGGCACUUUUCCUUGGUCAUGGUGUCCAAUCCACGGUUUUCCUUGGGGUGGUACUUGGCACGAAAUUUUUUUUCUCUAUUUAUGUCUGAGUCCAUUUGGCAAAAAAAGCUUUUGAAAACUUUGAAUAAGUGAGAACUGUCCACGGAUGUUGAAUUUAAUCAUAUGAAAAUUACUAACUAAUGGUAGCUGUUAAGACUAUCAUAAAAGCCCAUAGGUCGAGAAAAAAUCCAUCGAAAGUCUCACUUUUAACUGUUGUUUGGGAAAACUCUAGGAGUUUUUUUACCCCUUUUUCAGCAUGAAUGUUCGACAGGAAUUUAGUACACUUUCUGAUCACGGAUUUCUCAAAUUCUACUUCAUUAAUGUUUUGUUUGAGAGUAACACUUAGUGCAAACUUACUGGGUAUUGCAUUUGCCUAUGCUGCCGGCUUCAAAAAAUCCUUAAAAUUCCAAACACUUUUCUUCCCUGUCAUCGUAUAAUUAUCUAUCCAUAAAAGUAUAAACAGAUGGACUGAAUUGAUUUGUAAAAGAAAACUUACUAACAAGGUAAACUGAGAAAAUCAUGAAAUGUAGAUAUAAAUGGGAAUGAGGAAUGAGAAGUCCAAAUAUUUCAGGAGGCAAAACAUAAUCCUUUAAAACUUUUUCUUUGUGAAGGAUAGAGGGCAUUGACAACAUAAUCUUUAGUUUCUAGUUAUAAAUCUGUGUACAUUGUAUCUCAGUGCUGACGUGUAUAAAAUGUGGUCAGGUUGUUAGACAAAG